Molecule: ribosomal RNA, 251 nt
Filed under: uncultured prokaryote
Description: partial 16S rRNA
Rfam family: Bacterial small subunit ribosomal RNA
Source: RNAcentral
ACGUAGGUGGCGAGCGUUGUCCGGAAUUACUGGGUGUAAAGGGUGCGUAGGCGGAUUUGCAAGUCAGGGGUGAAAACUAUCGGCUUAACCGGGAGCCUGCCCUUGAUACUGCGAGUCUUGAGUAUGGAAGAGGUAGACGGAAUUCCUAGUGUAGCGGUGAAAUGCGUAGAUAUCAGGAGGAACACCAAUGGCGAAGGCAGUCUAUUGGUCACUUACUGACGCUGAGGCACGAAAGCGUGGGGAGCAAACAG